Molecule: ribosomal RNA, 426 nt
Filed under: uncultured bacterium
Lineage: Bacteria
Description: partial 16S ribosomal RNA
Rfam family: Bacterial small subunit ribosomal RNA
Source: RNAcentral
UGGGGAAUAUUGCACAAUGGGCGCAAGCCUGAUGCAGCCAUGCCGCGUGUAUGAAGAAGGCCUUCGGGUUGUAAAGUACUUUCAGCGAGGAGGAAGGCGUUGUGGUUAAUACCGCAGCGAUUGACGUUACUCGCAGAAGAAGCACCGGCUAACUCCGUGCCAGCAGCCGCGGUAAUACGGAGGGUGCAAGCGUUAAUCGGAAUUACUGGGCGUAAAGCGCACGCAGGCGGUCUGUCAAGUCGGAUGUGAAAUCCCCGGGCUCAACCUGGGAACUGCAUCCGAAACUGGCAGGCUAGAGUCUUGUAGAGGGGGGUAGAAUUCCAGGUGUAGCGGUGAAAUGCGUAGAGAUCUGGAGGAAUACCGGUGGCGAAGGCGGCCCCCUGGACAAAGACUGACGCUCAGGUGCGAAAGCGUGGGGAGCAAACA